CUGCCCAAGGAAAAAGAGUGCAACAUGGCAACCUUGGAUGAAGGAGCAAGCCUGUGUCUUGCUGACUGCAGCCUCUUGUAGGUCAUCGCAGCACAUGUGUGUCCCUCUCCUGUUAUGGUUUUUGUUGAAAAUGGCUCAAGAAACCAGGUAUUGGAAAAAUUAAAGGGGAAAGGACAGCAGCACCAUUUGCAGAGCCAACCUCAGAUGAAACAAGGACCAUUCCUAUUGCUUUGUGAACAAUCAAACUGGCUUUGGAUACUGGAAUUUUACUCUAGACUGUGAUUUGAAUAUUGGACACUCUUAAGAUCAUUAAUCCCCACUGUUUGGUUCAGGUCUCUGCUGUGAAAUAGAUUAAUUAUUUCUUGUGUGCAGUCUUUAUUCAGGCACUGAACAAUGAAGGAUCGUUUGUAGCUUUCUGCUCUUUUCAGUGUAUUUUCCAUGUCUUGUUCUGUAUCUUUUUGUUAUAAAGAUUCUAUCCUCACCUGUCAUGAGACAGUUUGAUUUCAGUGAACUCUAUGACUUUAUGCCAUUUCACGUGACUUUGUACCUAGCCUAGCAUUUUUAAUGUCUGCCUGUAUCUAUAGUUGCACGCGAAGGGGUUACGUUGCUGUGAGUAUAAACCUUCUCCAGGCUGCACCACACAGACAAGCAUGGCCAUGAGAAUGAAAGGAGCCUGUAGGGAUGAAACAACACUGAGCUGAACCCUCACCCAAAGGCAGGAUGGGACCUUUUUGGAGUGUUGAAGACAUGCACACAAACUCUUUAAUUUGUUGGCGUUCUGUAUUGCGUUUUAAGCUGAGACAACAGAAAUGCCAGUAAAUAUAUAAAAAGAUUGGAAACCUCCAACCUUCUUAAAAACAACAAAAUGCUGAAAAUCUGCAUGUAAACAGUUGCUACCAAGAUUUCUAAAUGCAGUUUGGCUGUCUUGGGCCAUCCUGAUGGAGCAAGGAUUAGCAUCCAAGUACUUAAGUGGUUUUUACUCCAAUCUUUUUGAGGGACUUUUACCACCAACCCAAUCACAUUUAUUUCACACUCAACCUUUCCAAAUAAUGUUGGAAUCAGAAAGUUAUUUAUGUGACCUGCUUAAUUGAAAGAGCAUUUGCUGUCAGUGAUCAAAUAAACUGUUAUUGAUCUUCA
This 1137-nucleotide long non-coding RNA is filed under the name Anas platyrhynchos platyrhynchos (common mallard). RNAcentral describes it as "lncRNA (ENSAPLG00000023677.1)". The record is from RNAcentral. Lineage: Eukaryota; Metazoa; Chordata; Aves; Anseriformes; Anatidae.